GCCCCGGUAGUAUAGCCCGGACUAGUAUGCGGGCCUGUCGAGCCCGUGACCCGGGUUCAAAUCCCGGCCGGGGCG
This 75-nucleotide transfer RNA is filed under the name Pyrobaculum calidifontis JCM 11548. RNAcentral's name for it is "tRNA-Asp (GTC) (tRNA-Asp-GTC-1-1)". It matches the Rfam family "tRNA". From Rfam's summary of the family: Transfer RNA (tRNA) molecules are approximately 80 nucleotides in length. Their secondary structure includes four short double-helical elements and three loops (D, anti-codon, and T loops). The record is from RNAcentral. Lineage: Archaea; Thermoproteati; Thermoproteota; Thermoprotei; Thermoproteales; Thermoproteaceae. RNAcentral also lists the same sequence under 1 other name.